This 526-nucleotide ribosomal RNA is filed under the name uncultured bacterium. RNAcentral describes it as "bacterial SSU rRNA". It matches the Rfam family "Bacterial small subunit ribosomal RNA", at positions 972 to 1505 of the family's 1533-position model. The record is from RNAcentral.
UACCAGGUCUUGACAUCUUCCUAACCUUAGAGAUAAGGCGUUCUUCGGGGACCAAUCACAGGUGGUGCAUGUCGUCUCAGCUCGUGUCGUGAGAUGUUGGGUUAAGUCCCGCAACGAGCGCAACCCUUGUUACUAGUUGCCAGCAUUAAGUUGGGCACUCUAGUGAGACUGCCGGUGACAAACCGGAGGAAGGUGGGGACGACGUCAGAUCAUCAUGCCCCUUAUGACCUGGGCUACACACGUGCUACAAUGGACGGUACAACGAGUCGCAAGCUCGCGAGAGUAAGCUAAUCUCUUAAAGCCGUUCUCAGUUCGGACUGUAGGCUGCAACUCGCCUACACGAAGUCGGAAUCGCUAGUAAUCGCGGAUCAGCAUGCCGCGGUGAAUACGUUCCCGGGCCUUGUACACACCGCCCGUCACACCAUGGGAGUUUGUAACGCCCAAAGUCGGUGGCCUAACCAUUAUGGAGGGAGCGCCUAAGGCGGGACAGAUGACUGUGGGUGAAGUCGUAACAAGGUAACCAAUC